Molecule: non-coding RNA, 2580 nt
Organism: Meleagris gallopavo (turkey)
Lineage: Eukaryota; Metazoa; Chordata; Aves; Galliformes; Phasianidae
Source: RefSeq, a predicted model, not a curated record
AAAGGAGCAAGAGAAGCCUUAGAGAACAGAAAGAGGAGUCAGAGAAGUCAGAGAUGAACCAUAGAAUGCACAGAGGAUCCAUAGUGGAGUCAUAGAGGAGACAGAGGUGACAGAAGCUAAAGAGAGGCUAGAGAGCCAUAUGAGAAGUAGAGCAGAAAGGAGCAAAAGAGACACAAGAGAAGUGCUAGAGAAGUGCCAGAGGAGCCAGGGAGGGAACAGAGCAGAGACAAAGAAGCCUGGGAAGCAAGAGAGGAGAUAGAAUGACAGAAUGGUCUCUCAAAGAAGCCAACACGAAACCAGAGAGGAGACAGAAAAGUUAGGGAAGCAAAAGAGAGAUGACUGAGAGACAAAAGGUACCAAAAUGGUGCCAGAGAGGAGAUAGGAGGCAAAGGUGCCAGUGAAGCAAUAGAAGCUAGAGAACCAGAGGAGCAAGAGAAGAGCCAGAAACACCAAAGAAAUUAUAGAGAAGCCAGAGAGGAGACAGAGAGCAGAUGGAAAGCCAGAUUGCAUCUCACUGAGACAGGAAUACUUUCAGUCAGAAGUUCUUGCUUCUGGAUGAGCUACAUUUCUUUAUAAGUUUUGCUGCAUUUAGACAAAAUAUGAUUGCAGAGGAAAGUAACACGGGAGAAACUGACAGUGAAAAAUGAAGAUUUUGUCUGCAGCAACUUUUCUCACCAUAACUGAGCACAGUCAAACAACUUCUGAUUUAUUCAGAGCCAAUUCUGCCUGUGAGGAAAAGAGAGUCAGCUGGAAGCAGCUUCAUCUCCACCCAAGCGCAGCAGCCACCUCAAGCGUGUGCACUGAGCUCUGCAGAGAAACUCCUUUUGGUUGUUCAGAGUGUUGCAUCCCUCCAAUAGGGAUGCAUACCACAGCCUCCAGGUAACCACUUUGUGGUUCAGGAGAUGUCACAUGAGGGUUUUUUUGCCUGUACAUGUGAAUAUUUGGGGCACCGGUUACUGCAUUGAUGACCAUUUCUCACUCUAUCCAAAGAAUAACUCAUUAUUCAAAUGGAAGGCAUCUGGGCAUGACAGAAAGGCUGGCAGCUACUACAAAGCAUGGUGAGCAUAAACUGCUCGGUCAGCAGAGCAAGAUUCAUUCCUAGACACAUGGCUAUUGAGUUUGUUUGAGCAAGACUCACCCCUAGACACAUGGCUAUCUCUGUGCAGAGAGAGCUGUGGUUUUCAAGAUGUCCAGCUGUAAGAGCUGUAACAAAAAGCAUUGCUUCUUCAGUCUUCCGGAUCCAAAGCAUUGUUCAGGCCUUCCCAGCUGAAUCAAUUGGUUUAGGAAAUAUUGCAGCUGCUGCCUGCAACUUUUUUUCUCUUGCAUGCUUUGAAAUAGAUCUACCCUCCGCAGGACAGAUGAGGCAUACUGCAGACCCCACUCAUGCAAAAGGUGUUGCCUUUGGAAGCCACCCGCAGAUCUGUGAGAGCCCCACACCUGCAGAUAUAAGUUAACUACUUAUUGCUGCUUUUAUCUCCUCUGAAAAACUGCAGCAAGUCAAAGCAGCAGGUGUCUGGCCCGUGAUACUGCAAAGACACGGAUGCUGACCCUGCCUUUGCCUUCAGUUUGUUUGCUGCAUGCCUCACCUGGUUUUCCCUUUGCUGCCACUAUACCACAAAUCCUGCCAGGUCAGGUUACUGCUCUGUUAUCUGGCUCUUCUAAGCCAUAUGUUGAAGGCCCCCCUGAGGAGGCCCUCGUGUAACGUUUCAGCUCCUGGAGACCGAGUGGUCUUUCAUUGGGACAGGAACAGCAAUGGGAGCAACAGCAGCUGAAAAGCGUUACGAGUUGGCUCUGUGCUACAAGGUACUUUCCCAUGAGAGGUCUUCAGCUGAACAGAGCAGCGGCGGUGAGUACAGAGGCUUUUAAAAAGUCUACACGCCGCCCCAGAUCCAGCUGUGGGCUGUAACAAAUAGACUGGAGUGCUUCUAACAGAUGCUGCUUAAAGCCUUGCCGCAUUUUACACCUUUCAGCUUCCUCACAAGAUGAAGUAGACUGAUCUAAAGUGCAUAUAUGUGUGGUUUGGUUUUCUUUUUUCUCCCUUUUCCCUUACAGAUCGAAAGUGCAGUGUAGUAGCAGCAUCUAUCUGCUAGCAGGGUGCACACGGGCAGCCCCACACAGCAGCUGCUGGAGGAUGGACACCCACAGGAGCCCUGUGGGCACUGACAGCAGGUGUCCUGCCGCAAGGUCCUGCUCGCUCCCAGCAACACAAGUUUCACCUGCACUCCCCUUUCUCUUUGUGCUGGCAUGUGUUGGAGUAAAUAUGUCCGCUACAGUUGUCAAGGAGUCAGAUAACACGUGUGAAGAAACAAAGGUCCUGAAAGGAAUCCCAGAUGCAACAGUUCUUGUGGGAAAGAUAUUCUGUUAUCCAGUGCCAGUAUUUGCCUUUCAAGGAACAAUAACUCAGUACAAGGUAAUGCCGUUAAAUGCACUUCUUGGUAUAAUCCUUCAGCAAAGGAGUAUUCGCUUUAUUUUUAAAAAUCACUUCUGUUUUUCCUAUUUAGAGCAUGCUAUCUGUAAAACUACAGGGGCUGCUCCAAAAGCAGUGCCUCUUAUUUUAUGAUGUUGGCCCACAAUAUCUAA